GCGAAUAUCGUAUAAUGGCUAUUACCUCAGCCUUCCAAGCUGAUGAUGCGGGUUCGAUUCCUGCUGUUCGCUCCA
RNAcentral lists this transfer RNA (75 nucleotides) under Citrobacter freundii. RNAcentral's name for it is "tRNA-Gly". It matches the Rfam family "tRNA". From Rfam's summary of the family: Transfer RNA (tRNA) molecules are approximately 80 nucleotides in length. Their secondary structure includes four short double-helical elements and three loops (D, anti-codon, and T loops). The record is from RNAcentral. Lineage: Bacteria; Pseudomonadati; Pseudomonadota; Gammaproteobacteria; Enterobacterales; Enterobacteriaceae.